This 395-nucleotide ribosomal RNA is filed under the name uncultured bacterium. RNAcentral describes it as "bacterial SSU rRNA". It matches the Rfam family "Bacterial small subunit ribosomal RNA", at positions 30 to 429 of the family's 1533-position model. The record is from RNAcentral.
AUUGAACGCUGGCGGCAUGCCUUACACAUGCAAGUCGAACGGCAGCGGACCUUCGGGUGCCGGCGAGUGGCGAACGGGUAAGUAAUAUAUCGGAACGUACCUUUCAGUGGGGGAUAACGUAGCGAAAGUUACGCUAAUACCGCAUAUUCUGUGAGCAGGAAAGCAGGGGAUCGCAAGACCUUGCGCUGAUUGAGCGGCCGAUAUCAGAUUAGCUAGUUGGUGAGGUAAAGGCUCACCAAGGCGACGAUCUGUAGCGGGUCUGAGAGGAUGAUCCGCCACACUGGAACUGAGACACGGUCCAGACUCCUACGGGAGGCAGCAGUAGGGAAUUUUGGACAAUGGGCGCAAGCCUGAUCCAGCCAUGCCGCGUGAGUGAAGAAGGCCUCGGUUGUAAG